UAAAUUAGACUUAAUAUUCUGAAGAAGAUUUCCCUUCAAAACAAAAGGCUUUCUCUUACUGUGUGCUUGCCUCUUGUGAGUAGAAGAUAAAUGAUGUAAGGGUAUAGUGUAAUAGAUAAAACUACUGCAAUCAAUCUGAAGUAGCCAAACUAUAUUGCAGUCUUGGACUUAAGACUUGCUAUAUAUCUGCAAACAUAUCAACAGCCUGUUUUACGUUGAGUAAUUUUGGUUUUUCUCUGGCAGGACUGUCUUAUUCCACUCUUCGGCGAAGCUUUACGUUCAUGUAAACAGCAUGACGUGAGGCCGUGGAUGCAGGCAUUAAGGUAUACUGUGUACCAGAAUCAGUUGUUGGAGAAAAUUAAAGUUAAGUGGUUUUCCUUUUUUUUUUUUGUAAGAGAAAAUUAAAGGUGGUUUUUUUUUUUAAAUUUUGCUUUAUUGAGGUUUAUAUUACACAUUCUAAGUGUAUGGUUUGAUGAGUUCUAACAUGUCUUCACUUGUGUGACCACCAAUACGAUCGAGAUAGAGAACAGCGUCUUACCCCAGAAGGUUCCCUUGGGAUCAUCUCCUCAUUUGCCCCUGUCAGCAGUUACUGAUUUGCUUUCUGUCACUAUGGAUUAGACUUGUCUUUACUAAAGUUUCAUGUACGUGAAAUCAUAACAACAUGUUCUCUUGUGUUUGGCUUCUCUUGCUCAGCAUGAUAUUUUUACGGUUCACCCAUAUUGCAUGUAUCAGGAAUAUAAUCCUUUUUAUUAUUGAGUAGUGUUCUAUUGUAUGUAUUUACCACAGUUUAUUUCUCCCUUCAUCCUUUGCUAGAUUUUGGGGUUUUUUCACAUUGCGCUAUUCAGUAUAAACCUGCUCUCAACAUUCAUGUGCAAGUCUUUGAGUGGACAUAUAUUUGCGUUUCUCUUGAGUGAAUGCACCUUGUUGGGUCACGUGGCUUAACUUAAAAAAAUUUUAAUCACUGUGGUGCAUAUGUAGUGAUUAUUAGUGAUUAUCUCAUAAUUUUAUUUUCUUGUUUAAUGAUGUUGAGUGUAUUUCAUUUGUAUUUUAGUUUGCAAAUGUUUGUUCAAAUUCUUCACCUGUUUUUAAUGAAGACGUACGACUUAUUUUUGUGUUCUGAACAUAAGUUCUUUGUCACAUAAAAUGUGCUAUGAAUGUUGAGUUUUAAAUACUCCAAAUGAAUGGCUAGAGAAUUACUAUUUGUAGAAAUAUUUAUAUGUCAAAGGGAUGCUAACAAUUUACUUUAUUGCUCUAAAAUAGAAAAGUUGCCAGAAUGCUGUGGAGUUUUAGUGGAAAACAUGAUAGCUGGUGUUACUGAGUAAAUUUGAGUGUUAAAUGUCAAUGUAAGCUAACGGCCAAGAUAGGGACCACUGCAGGGUGGUUACUUGCAGCUGUGACUCAACUGGUCCUUCACUGCCAAACAUACCUGGGGUUGGAUCAUUGGCCUGACGUUUGCAAAUUGAGGAACCUUAGGGCAAAUCAAUGAACUUCUGAACUGCCUUCGUCUUCAGUUAUAUGGGGAUUUCCCCACUUUUGAGGUACUUGUAAGGAUUAUAUGAGAUGAAGAGAUGAGACAAGGUAUAUAAAAGUCCUAGCACAGAGCGUGUCAUAUAAUAUGGCUUCACAAGUACCCUCAUCUCCUUUCCAGUCGUUUUUUGUUUUUGUUUUUGUUUUUUUGAGACCAUCUCACUCUGUUGCCCAGGCUGGAGUGCCUCUUCAUUUUUAUUUCUUUAUUCAGCAAGUAUUGAUCAAAUGUGCUUUGUACCAGGUACUGAGCUCUUCGUUGGGAUAUAAUGGUGAUCAAGGAGAUUGUAGAUUCUGGCAGGGAAAACUGACAUCAAACACGGCGACCCGACAUAGUGAGACCCUGUCUCUACUAGAAGAACUUUAAAAAUCACCUAGGUGUGGGCCGGGCACGGUGGCUAACGCCUGUAAUCCCAGCACUUUGAGAUGCUGAGGCAGGUGGAUCACGAGGUCAGGAGAUCGAGACCAUCCUGGAUAACACGGAGAAACCCCGUCUCUACUAAAAAUACAAAAAAAUUAGCCGGGCGUGGGGGCGGGCAUCUGUAGUCCCAAUUACUCGGGAGGCUGCAGCAGGAGAAUGGCAUGAACCCGGGAGGCGGAUCUUGCAUUGAGCCAAGAUCACGCCACUGCACUCCAGCCUGGGCGACAGAAUGAGACUCCAUCUCAAAAAAAAAGAAGAAACCAAGGAUAUAGAAUAAAACAAGAGUGUAGAUUUGGGCAUUGAGGCCUUCAAAUUGGAUUGUUCUCAAUGUCCAGAAGAAAAAAAAAAUUUAGAAGAGACCCAAAUCAGAAAACAAAAGUUGGGCUGAAUUCAAUGCGAAUUAUUUUCUAGCUCAAUAUUAAUACUGCUUAUGUCAGCUGAAUUUCAGCCUUUCAAUAACAGCUAGUCAAGUAUUUUUUUAGUUGGUUCCUAUUGAUCGUCAUCUUAUUUUAGUGGAAUCCAUUAUAUUGAAGAUGUCAAGUUCCUCAUUUCCCAUACAAAGAAUGUGAGAUUCAUCUUUCUUGAAUCUUUGCUAAGUGUUGAAGGGGACUUUUGGCAUCUUUUCAGGAGGACUAUAAUUGGGCCCUCUAACUAAAAAGUCUCCUAUGCCCCUUAGAUAGAUGAGAUUUUUUUUUUUGACCUUGUACCCACCAACAUUGGUGGGAGGCUCAGAAGGGACUGUGUUUGUAACUUUGUAGCACUUUCUAAACAGUGACCUGUUGUAUGGGCAUUAUAGGACAGUCCGUGGGGUGGGGCGGGGGAUGGGGGAGAUGGACAAAUGAGGUCUGGUUUAAAGAAUGAGAAGUGUGACCAGGCAUGGUGACUCAUGCCUGUAAUCCAGCACUUUGGGAUGCUGAGGCAGGAGGAUCACUUGAGCCCAGGAGUUUGAGGUUACAGUAAGCUAUGAUUGUGCCACUGGGCUCCAGCCUGGGUGACAGAACUAGACCCUGUCUCUAAAAAAAGAAGAAGAGGUGUGUAUCCUUCUAAAUGAUAAAACAGAUCACUCCCCUGCUUACAUAAAACUUUCCGGUGGCUGGCCAGGCACGGUGGCUCACGACUGUAAUCCCAGCACUUUGGGAGGCCGUGGUGGGCAGAUCACGAGGUCAGGAAAUCGAGACCAUCCUGGCUAACGUGGUGAAAUCUUGUCUCUACUAAAAACACAAAAAAUUAACCCAGGUAUGGUGGCAUGCACCUGUAGUCCCAGCUACUCGGGAGGCUGAGGCAGGAGAAUCGCUUGAACCAGGGAGGUGGAGGUUGCAGUGAGCUGAGAUUGCGCCACUGCACUCCAGCCUGGGUGACAGAGACUCUGUCUCAAAAAAAAAAAAAAAAAAGAAAAAGAAAAAUUAGAUGGGUGUGGUGGCAUGUGCCUGUAAUCCCAGCUACUGGGGAGCCUGAGGCAGGAGAAUCGCUUGAACCUGGGAGGCAGAGGUUACAGUGAGCCAAGAUUGCACCACUGCAGUCUGCCUGGGUCACAGAGCUAGACUCUGUCUCAAAAACAGAAAAACAAAAAAACAACUUUCCAGUGGCUUCUCACUGCUCUGAGAAUAAACUCCAGGCUCUUCCAUUGCAACCAACAGGAUCUGGUGAUUCGACCCCAGCCCCUCUUUCCAGGCCCUCAUCACCUUGAUCCUCCCUUAACCUAUCCUGCUCCAGCUGCACUGGCUGCCUUCCUAUUCCUCCAGCAUACCAAGAUUGUUUCUGCCACAGGGCCUUUGCAUCUGCUGUUCUCUUCGCCUGGACACCUCU
RNAcentral lists this long non-coding RNA (3751 nucleotides) under Homo sapiens (human). RNAcentral describes it as "non-protein coding lnc-NPIPB4-5:6". The record is from RNAcentral. Lineage: Eukaryota; Metazoa; Chordata; Mammalia; Primates; Hominidae.